UCCGCAAUGGGCGAAAGCCUGACGGAGCGACGCCGCGUGCGGGAUGAAGGCCUUCGGGUUGUAAACCGCUGUCAGUCGGGAGGAAAUCUAUGGGGGUUCUCCCCCAUAGUUGACCUAUCUUCAGAGGAAGGACGGGCUAAGUUCGUGCCAGCAGCCGCGGUAAGACGAACCGUCCAAACGUUAUUCGGAAUCACUGGGCUUAAAGGGUGCGUAGAAAAAAAAAAUAAGUUGGGUGUGAAAUCCCUCGGCUCAACCGAGGAACUGCGCUCAAAACUGCCAAGCUAGAGGAAGAUAGAGGUGAGCGGAACUAAUGGUGGAGCGGUGAAAUGCGUUGAUAUCAUUAGGAACACCUGUGGCGAAAGCGGCUCACUGGGUCUUUUCUGACGCUGAGGCACGAAAGCUAGGGUAGCGAACGGGAUUAGAUACCCCGGUAGUCCUAGCUGUAAACGAUGAGCACUAGGUUGGAGGCUCCUCCAUAGGUUUCCGACCGAAGCGUAAGUGUUAAGUGCUCCGCCUGGG
Molecule: ribosomal RNA, 519 nt
Filed under: uncultured Planctomycetota bacterium
Lineage: Bacteria; Pseudomonadati; Planctomycetota
Description: bacterial SSU rRNA
Rfam family: Bacterial small subunit ribosomal RNA
Source: RNAcentral